CAUCUGGACUUCGACAAGGAAAACCUCCUGUUUGGUAUUUAGUCGAGUGUCCGGUACAAGAAGGUGGACUUGCGUGUGGGUAUUACGUCAUGAGGUUCAUGCUCGAUAUCGUCAACUAUUGCAAAGAUGUUGGUGAUCUUCGAAAGGUUUAUGCGAAUUCCACACCACGUUUGAGGAACUUCACCAAAGAA
Long non-coding RNA from Beta vulgaris subsp. vulgaris (sugar beet), 191 nucleotides. RefSeq lists it as uncharacterized. The record is from RefSeq and is a predicted model, not a curated record. Lineage: Eukaryota; Viridiplantae; Streptophyta; Magnoliopsida; Caryophyllales; Amaranthaceae. The transcript has 3 exons.